RNAcentral lists this non-coding RNA (691 nucleotides) under Ornithodoros porcinus. Lineage: Eukaryota; Metazoa; Arthropoda; Arachnida; Ixodida; Argasidae. The record is from RNAcentral.
AUAUUUAUAUAGUAAAUAAUAUUUGCAUUUUAAGCUCUUUAUGUUAAAAGUAAAUAAAUUAAAAAUAGAAGAUAUAUUUAUUUGUUUUGUCAUACAAAAAUAGGUUUGAAAUUAUCUCAGGCGAAGCCUGUGCCAGCCGCCGCGGUUACACAGGCUGGGUAAAAAUAUUUGUGUUAUGAUAAUAAAAUUUUAUUAUAUUGUUUUUUUUUACUUAGGUGAAAUUUUUAUAUGAAUUUGUGAUUUUGUUUUGAAGAAAUUUUUGAUUUAAAUUAGGAUUAGAUACCCUAUUAUUCAGUAAUUUGAAAUUGGUAGUAUUUUUAGGUUCUUUAAAUCUAAAGAUUAUGGCGGUAUUUUAAGCUUUUUAGAGGAAUUUGUUCUUUAAUGGAUAAAACUCAAAAAUCUUACUUGGGUUGGUUAAGCAGUUUGUAUAUCGCUAUCAUAGAAUAAUGUUGAUUGAUUAAUAAUUAAGAUUAUCUUUAGUAAAAAUGUUAGGUCAAAAUGCAGCAAAAAUUUAAGGUUGAAAUAAAUUACUUUUAUUUGUAUAUGGUUUUUUGAAAUUAAGUUUAGGAUUUAAGAGUAAAUUGAAAUUAUAAUGUUCAGUUGAAUUUAGCUCUAAAAUAUGCACAUAUCGCCCGUCACUCUCAGUGAUGAGAUAAGUCGUAACAAAGUAAAAGUACCGGAAGGUGUUUUU